AUGUUAUUGUUAUGCCUGAGUCUGACUUUGAGUUUCAUAGCGGGAAAUUGAAACGAUAUUUAUUUUUUAUUUCUACAUAGCAAAGAUAUUUAAGUUUUUUUUCCUACACAGCCAAUAUUGUGAAUAAUCUUUUGUAUAACAUCUCUAACUAAAGCAAUAUCGUUAAAAUGGAUAAAGUUCAAGAACUUUCUGAAGCACUGCCUUUACCAAGUCAGCCAUUCUUAAACGUCGAAGUAAAUGAAUGCAAAGAAAGUUGAGUGAGUCUGUGUUAGUGAAACCAUGCUACAGGUGAAACUAGGUAAUGAACAAAUCAUGUUUUUGUUUUGUAAAGAAACUUGAAUAAUUUUAAUAUGUUACUAGAUUGACGUCACUGGUCAUAUGUUGUGCUUCAACAGACUCACUUCUUCAAAUACCACUGUGCUGUCAAAACGUGAACAAAACCAUUUAUUCAAUUUGAUAAUAAGCAUUAACAUCUUAAUAGUAUUUACCACUUUAUUUUAGCACUAUCCCAGAGUAUAGAAUUAUAAAGCUUGUCAAAGACUUUCUUAUCAACAUGAAAACAAUUCAUGGCGA
This is a long non-coding RNA of Xenia sp. Carnegie-2017, 573 nucleotides long. RefSeq lists it as uncharacterized. Lineage: Eukaryota; Metazoa; Cnidaria; Anthozoa; Malacalcyonacea; Xeniidae. The record is from RefSeq and is a predicted model, not a curated record. The transcript is spliced from 2 exons.